GGAGCCAAAACAGUAGGCUGUAAAGAGUCUAGAAGGUCAAUGUGAAUCCAAAGGAAAUAUGUAAAGGUGUCUAGAAGGUCAAUGUGAAUCCAAAAGAAAUAUGUAAAGGUGUAAAACACGACUAAAAUCGAAAGGUUUUUGCGCAUUUUACACUGAAUAGAUUACAAUGAGUGUUGGUAGCACAUCAUAAUCUGAGUUACAUCAGAUGAAAGAUAUUAUGAUCUGAGUUACAUCCGAUGAAAGUAAAGAACACAGGGGAUACUACCUGAAAAGUCUUGUAUGAACUAAAGCAAUCAAAUGUUAUUAUGGGUUAAAGAAAAUGAGAGGACAAUUGUAUCCAAGCAAAGUUAUAGAAUGGGAAAUUCAUUUCAUAAUCCUGUGCAUGAGGAUGACAUCCUACUUGCUAGUGGUCAUGUCAAUCUACUGCAGGAGAAGAAAAGGAAUUCUUGUUCUCAAAGUUCAAAAGAAUGUUCUCGGUAGAGUGUCUCUCGUCGAGAUUCACCAAGAAAAGAAUAAAAGGGGUAUUAGUAAUGUCGCAUGGACAUGCUUAGAAAGGUAUCUAAAGUAUGCAUGCGAGAAAGUCUACGCAUAUUCUUAUAGUCAAUGGUAAUGGAACCGAAAACUAUGGUGUUCCAAAAGUUGAAGAGAAAAGAUUGAAAACGGAUAUGGUGCCAUAUGCUUCAGCUGCUGAAGCUCAAUAUAUUACCAUGACAUAGUUCAUGUAUUUGGGUUGUUUUGGCAAUGUCCAGUCCAUAUAUAGAUCACUGGAAUGGACUCGAAGAUAUCGGCCUCAUGCUGGAAGAAACAAGUGCUCUUAAAAGACUGUGAGUACAAAGACAUGAGUUGUGAAAUGUAUAGCGAAAUCCACAAUUGUCGCUAAUUUUCACACUUGGAGUUUUGGUGUGGAAAAGCUCCAGAGAAUGAAAGAAUUAUCAUCAAUGUGAUGCAAAGAUAUUUUAUAGCUUGAUACGAGGGCUGAGGGACAGGCAAAAUGGUUAAGGACCUGUACCCGGAGUUGAUAAUGGUUGACAACAGCGAUAACCAUUUUUAAGUUUUCGCUCCUAUGACAACGAGUCAAGUGUUGAUGCCAAACACACUGACACCGAGUUAUGCAUUGUAAAGGAGAAAGUCUGAAAUCAUGUAGAAAUGCUUGAAGCAUAAAAGCAACAGACAAGUGUUUGCAGAUCUGCUUAUUAAAGGCUUACCACCCAGUGUGUUUGGAGAACACACAGUCGACAUGAAUUUUAUGGUAUAGUUUAAGAUUUCCGGACAAUAAAGGGCCCAAGGUUAAAGAAUUUGUUUCAAAACAGAAAGGUACGUUGUGGCUGUCUGAUUCUAUCGGCAAUUGAGCUGUGACGAUGAAACAUGUUCUAUGUACCAAUAUGUGAUGAAACAAAUAAACUAGAAAGUAUAAGGAUAAAAGUAAAGUUGAGAUCAAGGGGGAGAAUGUUAGGUUGAUCUCUUCCCGAUUGAGCCCAACGGCUCGACGGGCCCUUGACCCGCGCCCUGAUCGGGGGCGCCGAACCUAACCAAAGGCUGGUGGGCCCCUGUUGCCGCGCUAUAUAAAGGGGUGGGGGAGCCAGCCGCACGCGACACGAGGUUCACCGUGCGCCGCAACCCCNNNNNNNNNNAAAAAAAAACAAGAUUGUAGGAGAUUCCACAUAUAUAAUAAGCAACCUUUACAUAUACUGUAGAUGAGAAAAAGCUAAAACAACCUUGCUCUCCUCAGAAGUUGUGUAGAGCGUGGUCGUUUUUUCCUGAGUGCAAGAAAGCAAAGAAAAUAAUAAUUCUGAAUUUGCCCAAAUAUCCACAGAAAGCAAGGGGCUGGGACCUGGGAGAAUGAUUUACAAAAGGAGAUGUAUGCCAGAUCAAGCAUUUAUGAAUCAGUGGAUACUAAACUGUAAGCAUGAACCAUAGAAAAGAAAGCAGUUAGACUAUGCAACCAUUAAUUGGUAAUUAAAGACAGGUAUGUUCAUAACCAGCUCUGUUGCUAAGAACAGAUCUUAUGAGCUCAAGAGACCAAACUGUUACAGUCGAAUUCCUAGAGCAUUUAUUGCAAAAGAAAAAUAUAAACAAUACUGCUAAAAACAUAACUCAUUGUGCCAAUAUCUCCUACAAAGAUCAAAUGGGAAAUAGGUAUGGGAAAAUUUAAGCAGUUCUGGAAUAAGAAGAAAUUUCUCAUGAUAAAUGAUUUACCAUGCUAUAUUAGAUAUGUUGGUCAUGAAUUCCUUGCACACACUGCCAGGAGCUGGGACCUCCAAAUCCACGUCCUCCCCACGAACCUGCACACAUGUUUAGACUAAUAAUCAGUUAGGUAUACAAUUUUAUGUACUAACUAUAUGCACCGACCUUUAGAUCUGAACCUUUUUUUUACAUCCCUUCAGAUCUGAACUUUUUAGCAAUGACAGUUCAUUUCCUUGUAAAAGGAAACCCUGCUGCAACGACAUAUCACAACGAAGUGUUAGGUUGAUCUCUUCCCGAUCGAGCCCAACGGCUCGACGGGCCCUUGACCCGCGCCCUGAUCGGGGGCGCCGAACCUAACCAAAGGCUGGUGGGCCCCUGUUGCCGCGCUAUAUAAAGGGGUGGGGGAGCCAGCCGCACGCGACACGAGAUUCACCGUGCGCCGUAACCCCCACCAAUAUCCCUACCGAUCUAGGGUUAGCGUGAUACGAUGGGAAGCUCAACCACCGUCGCCACCCACGCACACUCGCG
Molecule: long non-coding RNA, 2712 nt
Filed under: Triticum aestivum (bread wheat)
Lineage: Eukaryota; Viridiplantae; Streptophyta; Magnoliopsida; Poales; Poaceae
Description: long non-coding RNA (TAES_LNC002394)
Source: RNAcentral